Molecule: long non-coding RNA, 382 nt
Organism: Centruroides sculpturatus (bark scorpion)
Lineage: Eukaryota; Metazoa; Arthropoda; Arachnida; Scorpiones; Buthidae
Exons: 2
Source: RefSeq, a predicted model, not a curated record
AAACAGAUUUUCAUAUUAGCACUGAAAAUAAAUGUUCAAAAUAAUUUAGCAAUAAAAAUACUUUGAUCACACUGUUUCUAUUAUUCUCCAUUAUGAAUGCAAUAGUAAGGCUGUCUUAAAGGAAAACAUCAGUUCUUUAUUCAAAAUAUCAUUUAUUUUUAUAUAGAGGGAAUCACCACCCCUUUCUCCACUACCAAGGUUGAAUGCUAAUCCUUUAUCACCUUGGAGACGAGUGUCUUCAAAACAUUCUGUAUAUGUUUCACCUCUGAAGAAUUCUAAUUUUCCUCCUUCUCCUAGUAGACCAUUAUCCUACAGUUUCAACAGGAGUUAUCCAAAGGAUCUUCGAGCAAUAAAUUGCAUGAUGAAAAGAGGGGAAAGAAAA